RNAcentral lists this microRNA precursor (74 nucleotides) under Myotis lucifugus (little brown bat). RNAcentral's name for it is "mir-9193 microRNA precursor family". It matches the Rfam family "mir-9193 microRNA precursor family". The record is from Rfam by way of RNAcentral. Lineage: Eukaryota; Metazoa; Chordata; Mammalia; Chiroptera; Vespertilionidae.
GCGGGAGAGGGGGGGUCCCUCAGCCUGGAUUGCAAGAGGGUGCAGGCCAGACCGAGGGGCCCCACCAGUGCACA